This 863-nucleotide ribosomal RNA is filed under the name uncultured bacterium. RNAcentral describes it as "bacterial SSU rRNA". It matches the Rfam family "Bacterial small subunit ribosomal RNA", at positions 8 to 853 of the family's 1533-position model. The record is from RNAcentral.
AGAGUUUGAUCAUGGCUCAGGACGAACGCUGGCGGCGUGCCUAAUACAUGCCAAGUUGAGCGCUGAAGGUUGGUACUUGUACCAACUGGAUGAGCAGCGAACGGGUGAGUAACGCGUGGGGAAUCUGCCUUUGAGCGGGGGACAACAUUUGGAAACGAAUGCUAAUACCGCAUAAAAACUUUAAACACAAGUUUUAAGUUUGAAAGAUGCAAUUGCAUCACUCAAAGAUGAUCCCGCGUUGUAUUAGCUAGUUGGUGAGGUAAAGGCUCACCAAGGCGAUGAUACAUAGCCGACCUGAGAGGGUGAUCGGCCACAUUGGGACUGAGACACGGCCCAAACUCCUACGGGAGGCAGCAGUAGGGAAUCUUCGGCAAUGGACGAAAGUCUGACCGAGCAACGCCGCGUGAGUGAAGAAGGUUUUCGGAUCGUAAAACUCUGUUGGUAGAGAAGAACGUUGGUGAGAGUGGAAAGCUCAUCAAGUGACGGUAACUACCCAGAAAGGGACGGCUAACUACGUGCCAGCAGCCGCGGUAAUACGUAGGUCCCGAGCGUUGUCCGGAUUUAUUGGGCGUAAAGCGAGCGCAGGUGGUUUAUUAAGUCUGGUGUAAAAGGCAGUGGCUCAACCAUUGUAUGCAUUGGAAACUGGUAGACUUGAGUGCAGGAGAGGAGAGUGGAAUUCCAUGUGUAGCGGUGAAAUGCGUAGAUAUAUGGAGGAACACCGGUGGCGAAAGCGGCUCUCUGGCCUGUAACUGACACUGAGGCUCGAAAGCGUGGGGAGCAAACAGGAUUAGAUACCCUGGUAGUCCACGCCGUAAACGAUGAGUGCUAGAUGUAGGGAGCUAUAAGUUCUCUGUAUCGCAGCU